Non-coding RNA from Equus caballus (horse), 9889 nucleotides. The record is from RefSeq and is a predicted model, not a curated record. Lineage: Eukaryota; Metazoa; Chordata; Mammalia; Perissodactyla; Equidae.
AGAAAAGAUUUCCAUCUGUCUGAAAUUUAAAUUCAGUCCUGCCUGAUAGCAAGAACUUGGACUGGAAUUUUCUCAGGAUUCCUUCCAAUGCAAGAUUCUGGGAUCUAUGCCCUUUACUGUGUCCUGAAGUGUCCUCCUUUCACCUGGUUCUUAGCAAUACUCAGAUUAAAGAGCUACUGUGGCCAAAUGGUUGGUGAAAUGGAGAACUGGCCCCCACUGUUAACAGAGCAAUCAAUUACCUUCCUAAAAGAGACACUGCCAAAAUUCUACUCAGAUUAUUUCACAGCUGAAGUAAUAACAAAGACUCCCAUUUGUAGUGCACCUUCCACAUUCCAUUCAUCUUGCAUACCUCUUGGCUGAUUCUUACACCAACUCUGAAAAGUAGGUAUUAUCCUCCCCCUCAUCUUGCAUAUAAGGAACCUGAGGUCCAGAGGAGAUUCCACGUGCCCAAGGUCACAAAACUGAUAAAGAGGUGAGCUAGGAUUCAAACCCAGGUCUAUCUGGCUCUGAUGUCUGGGCUGGUUCCACAACAGUCUAGAGAGCCAACUCCUCAACACAGGGGUAGAUGGCAUUGAUAUCAACCUAUCUAAUGCUAAUUUAGGAAAACAAUCCUGAAAGAAAGAGUUCUACAGUGAAAAGAAGACUCUGUGAUUAGUCUGCUGGCCCAGCGGGAAUGGUGAGUUUCAUCUACUGCUAGUCAGAGCUAUUUGGCUUCUGGAGAUUCAAGAGCAGGACUGUGGGGACCUUGACAAAAACUAUUUUCAACGACAAUGAGCUCAUGAAGGGCUUCUCUGGGUUGUGCCAGGGAGGGCAAUGUCCUCACAGUGACGAGAACAUUCUGGAGGACAGGAACGAGGAAGAGCCUUUAGGGAAACAAGUGUGCCAGAAAGUCCCUGGACAGAGGACAGAUGGAUUCAGGGUAGGGUGGUGGAGAAAGGGAAGAGAAGUAAUGUGUCCACAGCUGGAGACCAGGAAGAAGAGUUUUGUAGCACCCUGCCUUCUUCCAGAAUGUUCUUCACUGCCUACCUGGCUGAAGUACCCUUUUAUUCUUCUCAGAGCCUUUCAUUAAGAGAGAAAAGAACUUAGUCAAGCAGUUGGGGGAGACCUUCAUGGGCAGCUGCUACGGAAAUCUCACUGAGUCCCUAAAUGUCACCUCCUCAGAGAGGCCUUCCUUGACCGUCUCAUGUAAAACAGACCCCACCACACACCAUUAUUUUCUAUUACUGUACCUGAGAAUUCUCUCAAUAGUAUUUCUCACAACUUGUAAUUGCAUGUUUAUUAAUUUUCAUAUUCAUUGUCUGGUUCUCCCCCUAGGGCAGAGACCAUCUUUGUUUUAUUCACCGAUGGGUAUUCAGAACCUGGAACAGUGCUGGUGUGAGGUAAAUGUUUAGAAACUAUUUGUUGGGUGACCAAAGGAAUGAAUGGUGUCCAAGUGGCUAAUCCUUAAAUUGGGCACUCUGUGGUGUGUAAAUAAAUUACUGUGUACUCAUCCUCCUCAAUAUUUGCAUAUAGAUGAAAUCAGGUUAGAGUUAAUACCAAGGAUAGGUCCAAAGGGGAAAUAAGGACCACUCCCCAGGAAGCAUCAGGGGGAAGUCUUGCUCCUUUGUCUGCUGAGGGGGAGGGAAUUCUGGGCUGCUUUUAUGGAAAUGAGCCUGAGUCAAUUUAGCCCCAGCUCUCUCCUCCCCAACGCUAGCCCCUAGUCAGUGCUCAGUUGGGGGCAGAACAUGGUGAGGCAGGUCAUGCUGGGGCUUGCCCCACUUUGUGCUGCCAGGAGCUCUGGCUGGCUCCCAUCAGACAUAUGCCGGUUGUUGGCAAGCAAGAAGGAAGCAAGCUGUAGCAAGUACAAAGUCUGCCACCCCUAGACUUGAAGUAGUCGGCUAAGGGAAGCGAGCUGGUUCUGGGUUGGAGACCAUUAUUUGCCAUCUAACAAGCAGGUGUUUUGGGGGCAGAUUAUUUCUCAGCAGGUUGAAAAACAGGGCAUGCAUGAUAUUUUGUUUCUCCUUUGUCCUUGCUGAUAGCGGGGUUCACCCUGAGGUCUGGUCGACCUGGUUCUUUUAAGGGGGACCUUGAAAUGUAGAUUAGCACAUAGUGUGGAACAGAUGGAUGCCCUUCUCUACCCUCGCCUACCCAUUCUUCUUGAUGCCAUCCUGUGUUUAUGAACUGUGAGACCUCUGAUAAAUGUCAUUAGGGAAGAUAAAUGGGUCUAGGAGACCUCUCACGAUGGUCUUAGCAAGAGGCAUCGCUGUUCAGAUUGGGCUUCUAACUGGUAUGAAUCUAGAGAAGGGAAACCAAGUUCUGCUUGUCUCCAUGAGCCUUCUUAUCAGAGACAUUUAUGUCAUGGGCCUGCGCAUUUAGAGAUGCUAGUCACUUUUUUCCAUUAGUGUGAGGAGCUUGGGUGGCUUUGGUUUACCCUCACAUUUCCCUGCCUCUUAUAUUCUGGUAAGAAAAUUAAGACAGUUUAUUGAUCAUCUACUAUAUUCCAGGCACUGUACUAGGCAUAUUUUCCAAAUUUAUCUCAUUUCACCUGUAUUAAAACCAUUUUGGGAUAGAUUAUUAUUCCUUUUAUAUACAUGAGAAGACAGAGGUUCAGAAAAGUAGAAUAAAUUUACUAAGCCCUCUCAGCUAAGACGCUGAAUUAGAAUUUGAACCCAGGGUGUCUGGCUCCUAAACUUGUGUGUUCUUCUCAUCCAGGGCCCAAGAACAAGAAUGCGGGAACAAAGUAUAGUGACCAGACUACACUGCUUAUCAGCAUGAAUCGAACACUAAAGACCGUUUAGCAAGUCUGCUUUUACUUGGGAGAGACGGAGGAGGGGGAGAAGGGUGGUGUGAAAAAAAUUGUUUUGGUGCGGUUCAAUCUACUCUCAGCACCCUGUGCCAGCCAGAUAAGCUGAGCCUCUCUCAAUAGGCGACCUUGUUAUUGUAGCAUCAGAGAAAAGGUGACCUGGGUAGAGACUAACCCCAACUUGGACCAGAACUUCCAUCCAAGGUAACUGACGACUCUUGUUAGAUAAGAGUCACAAUUUUCAGCCCUGCCCAGGAAUAUCUGUGGGAAUAAAGGCUCUAAUAAAAUGGAAGUUAGCCUGCAUGCUUGUCUCCUGCCCUGAACUAGGAGCAGCUCAGCAAGACAGAAAUCCCAAAGCAGCGACUUGUCUUGGAGGCCAAUGACUUAGUCACCCCAACCUCUAUCAUGCUGCUCCUUCUGCAGAAAACAAGCCCCGGACUCUGCCUUCUGGGAUGGAGCGUGAGCCCUACUGGCCUUCUGCAACCCAGCUCAGGAAGUUUGCUGCUUCCUUAUUUGAGAUGCAUUAUUAAACUGUAAUCAUAUUGUGAGGGGAGCCAGCCAAAGCAGUGGCUAUUAAUAGGGAGGUAAGAAAGCUGACUCGGGAGGAAGCUGACUUAGGCUGGAGGGGAGAGCCUGGCCACCUUGGCCUACAAUCCUUGGCAAGAAGUCAGCGGGAAAGAGACCUGAGCUCAUUUCGUUCCUGGGCCAGAGUGAGCACUAUCUGGAUUUCUCAACUUUGGAAAGAGAAACCUGAAGCAGUCCUGAUCUAAGGGAUAUAGAGCCGUCUUCCCUGGGUCCUUGGGGAGUCUCAGAGCCCUGAGAACAAACAGCUUAGAUAGCUAUGACUCAGCAGAGCAGCAGCUCGCCCCUCACAAUGUCAGCAGUCCAUGCGACUUGGAAAAGGACGCUGGGGCUACAUUUCUGUGGCCUCCCUCAGCUGAGAAGCCAGAGCUGACCCAGCCCUUAGCAGGCCAGAGCUCCCCAUUGGCAGAGACAUCUGAGUAGGGAGAUUCUAUUUCUGGCUUCUUGAUAAGGCUUGGGGGAGUGGGUGUUACAGAAAGGUGGAAGCAGAGAGGUGAAGGCCCACAAUGACCGAAGGGCAUAGUGCAGAAGGGCCUGAUGAUGGGGGAGAAAUUUUUCAGUAAUUUCUGUAAAUGCAAUGCAUUUUUCAGAAAGUUAAGAUUUUAGCCAUUUGGUACACUUGCCACCAUCUGGCAGCUGGAAGCAGGAUCAAUUCCAAAAUCCGGCCCAUGGCACGCCACAGGAAAACUAGAACCGCUCCUGGAUGCUGGGUUCAUAGUAUCCCUUACUUUGUACCAGCACUGAACACGUGCUCUCCAUGUGCCGCUACAUUUAGUCCACACCAACCCCUCCAGAUCCGAGGUCAGGGGGAUCAGGGUCUGCGUGUGUGUUGCCAGGAGGUGCUGAGAAGUUGGGGGAGUGACGUGUAAUCUUCUCCCCUUCCCUCAGUGGGGUAGGUAUGCCCAGGUGAGUUUUCUCAAAGUGAAAGGUUCGUUUUGGUUCCUGGAUCUCUGAAGAAGGAGGUUGAGGUGGAGUUAGGGUGUGGGAGAUUUUUUUUCCCAUCCUUCCUAAAAAUAUUUAUUAAGUGCCUAUUGGGCUCAGCUCCGGGUGGCCCGGGCACUUUCAAUUUAUAGAAUAAUCUAAAGACAGCAUUGAUCUGGUAUUUUUCUCUGCUGUUUUUCACAUAUUCUAGAACUAUCCUCAUGUGUACAUGUCUUCAGAGUUAAACAAUUGUCACAGUCUACUUACCUACAUGGAUCUAUGAAAUACCUUUUCACAGAAAAGAAAGAAGUGACUUUCCUUCCACUGAUUGCCAUAUGGGCCACUUCCUGAACCUGAAAGAGAUGCCGUACCCCGAACACCAGGUCCUCAGCUCUAGCAAAUACAGGAGGGACAAGUUUCAGCCUCCGGCUGUCAGGGAGCAGCAAAUACAGAGGUGGGACCAGACCAGGCUCAUGGGAGUUUGUUCAUCAUUUCAUAGCCAUAUUAUGACCCAGUGUGAGAGGGCUGGAGAGUAAUUUCCAAGCCCUUAGGAAGUAGAUAGUCUAAGCCAUUGUUUUUGGGUUUUACGUGCUCUUGUGGUCAAUUCCUUUUUCUUCCUUUUUUUGAAAGGCAAACAAAUAGCCUAACAGCAAUAACAGUCAACAGGAUGGUGGCACAUCCGGGUUCAGACUCCAGCCUCCUCUUGCUGUAGUCAAAGUUAAUUAAUUCCCACUAUGCUUUGAACUAGGUUCCCUGCAGGUCUGUGCUGGGCCCUGCCCUGGCUGUCAGGGGAGGGCAUGGCUGGUUUGGCUCUCCGUGUGCUGUCCUGCGCAGGGGGAUGGAGAAGGGGGUAUGUUUCACCUUUGCAUGGGAUUGCCUCUCCUCUUCUCCUCCCGGGAGGUGACCAUUUUCAGAUCUGUGGGUGGGGAGGAAAAUCUUCUCUUCCAAAAAUAAUCUCUUUCUGCAGUGGGGUUUGAAGCUGGACCAAGCUGCUAGCGCUAUUUUUACCCAGCUUGCAGUUCAGGGUGUAAAUAGCAACUCUGGCUGUUUUUUCCCACAGCUGACAACAGAGUCGACCUCUUUGAGGCAGAAGCAUUCUGGCGUUUUGCACAGAGGAAACAGAACCAAAGUUGCCCUCGGGCCAAGGGGCUGACUCCUUGACCACUGGGUCAGUAUACAAACAGGGGUGGCAUCUCCAUGGUUCUGUUAUCUCAGUCUCUGCGGUAAACACCAGGCCCCAUGAUGGCUGCUUUGCUGAGGCUGAUUCAAAGAAGCACAGUGUGGAAUCACGAGGAGAAGGCAGGCCCAUAAAUCUCUGCCUGAGCACACUGAGGGUUUCAGGAGCUUGAGCAGCUCUGGACUCCAGCUGGCUGUCCCCCUUGCCCUCCCUCGUGCAUUAGCAAGCACUUCUUCCAAGGUUGCCACCCUUGGAGGGUUUCUUGCCCCAACCUCACCAGAUCAGGAGCUGAGGAAUGAGAGAAAAAACAACCAUUUGAGGCUGCCCAGAUGACAGAAUGUCCCUAAAAACAUGUACCUCCUUGCACUCAAGUGAUUGGAGCCCCCACAGUCUGCAGUAUUAGAAAGUGUCAUUUCGAGGGCGUGGUGAGAGGACUGGCUCCCUCCAGGCCACUCAUGAGCGGAAGCUGUGAGAAACUAACCAAAGCUUGGAGUUAUGUCUCCAAUUGGCUGGGUGAGGUGGGAAGUUCAGCCUCAGAGAGGGCCCGUCGUUGAUACAGUUGAUGAGCAAGAUGAAUCAGCAAAGACUGAGACGUGCCCAUCACACUUGGCAAUUCCCUAUUGCUUCUCCUCUGGGGAGCAAACAGACUUCAGUGGCUUUUCUCCGAGGCCAAGUUUCUUACCCAAAUCUUUCCCUGGGGUCUUUGGUCUGAAAUUAGAAAGGAGUUAGGAGUCAGCAGGAAAAUCACUCUUCAUUGUGAAUUACACAGCAACUCUUCAUGGAACUGCCCGUCUCCUUCCUCUAGGUACACAUCGAUCAUCAUCAAUCAAUCCGAGAAUUUCUCAAAUAUCCACCACAGACUCAGAAAUGGGCAUUUAGGCACAUGGUUCAAGUUUCAGUUUCUUCCAGCAGAUGACAUGUGGGGUAAGAAAAGGAUUGGAGGACAGAUAAGUAGCUGAGCAAUCCCCAAAUCUGCUUUUUUGAGGCUGGUUUCAGUGCAGCUCCUUGGAAUUGAUUCUGGGCAGCUGUUAAUUGCAAAACUCACUGCCAAUUAUCGAUAGCUAAAGUGGCAUUGGAGAGCUGCUGAUGGUAAAAAUAGGGGCAGGUAAUAAUGAGAAAAUAGCUUUGCAUUUAGAACAGAGGAUGGAAACAUAUUGUCUCCAACUGCUGUGUCGUGGGUUUCCAUUGUUAACUUGGGUUCUCUCCCAGGACCAGCCAGCAAAGCCUACUUAGUGACCUCCAGCAAAAAGUCCACCAGUGAGCUGCGCAGGAUGAGAUCAAAGCUUUGUCUCGGCAGCCAGACCAGAGGAGAUCCUGGUUCUCACUAUGCUCAGAGUCACAUUAAACAAACAAUACCACAGUUUUCACUAAAACCCGUUGAAUUUUAAAUGUACUGUUGACUAAAUUAGGGAGUUAUCGUUCAGUUGAUCUGGUAAUCCAUUUGUCCACCAAACUUCAGAUUUACAAACAAUGGUUUUCUGGGAAAGCCUCUUGAAGCCUGGAUGGUAAAUGUUUACCUUAAAAAAGCAAAAACUGAAGAAGGCAAAAGUGGCCUGGUGAGUAAAACCAAAAGCCUGCAGCAGACGGUCACGUUGCUGGACUGUUUGUUUUGAAAAAUGUUCCCAUUCCGAGCCUUGACAUUGGGGAAAUUAGGAACAUGGUAACCGACUUCCUGUCUAGUAUUUCCCUGGAUUUCCUGGAAUCCAAUUUGAAGUGUCGUUUUCCCCUGAACCACCAAGGAGUUAAACUUUGGCUCUGUUCUCCCAGUGACUAAUAGGCACCGUGUGGCUCUGAGAUCAGCGAGAAAGAAACUGACAGUCGGCGUGGGAAGUGUGCGAGAUUUCAGUGCUCUUGAAAUGCCUUUGAUGGGCAUGGUGAGCGAGCACAAGGAUUAUUGCCACCUAGAGCCCCUGAUUGUGUAAUUUGAUCUUGAAUUCUUGUUUCUCUCUUUGAAUUUUGCUUGAUUUUAAAGGAGGAUCUCGGACUCCUUUGGGGGCUUGAUAUGACUGCAGUGUGUGAGUUAUUCCACGGAGAAUGAUAUUUUAGGCAACAAACUAAUUCCACCACUUUGAAAAAUAACCCACUUUGGUUGAAAACAAAGCAGAAUCAAGUGACCUGACCAAAUGGCACUUGACGUGUGUUAGGGAGACUUGUCUUCCCGCUCUUGCUGUUUUCUUUCUUGUGAAAGGAGCCCAAUUAGCAUAACACUCCUGGCUUCUCACCACCCUCCCCCACCCCCAUUCUUCCCUGGGAAGGAGGAGUGGUUUAAGAUGACUGAUGAGUUUGGAAGGAGAAACUAUGCCUCAUACCAUCUUCUCUUCCUUUCUUCUUGGGAGUCAACACUCCUCCCGCAGGGUGGAAAGGAGAGGCCCAUUCUGGCCCAGCUGCCUAUUGCUGAGUGUCCACGUAUGAUUUUGAGGCCAAGUGUCAGGAAGCUCAUUGGCCUGAGAAUGUAAGCCACAUUCUCUAAUAUCAGCCUUAUUAGUAAUAAAGGUUAUUUUCGGUCCUCAUCUAGCUUACUGCUAUCUUACUUCUGAUUCACUUCAAAACUCGCAGAAAAGGGGAGGCGACUGCUAUUUUGAGGUCUCCUCAAAGACCCCAACAUAUUUACCAGGCGGCUUCCUGGUGGUUAGAAAAAGCCUUGUGUUGGGAUGAAACCCUGGCUUCUAGAACCACAUCACUACUUUCUUAUAGAACAACAGGUUCUUUAGUUGUCAAAUGAGUAAAGGGGAGUUUAUAGAAGGUGUUCCUUCCAGCUGAAAUGUAUCCAUUCAAAACUUAUUUAUUGAAUGCCUACUAUGUGCCAGGGAGUACAACGGUGAUCAAGAGAGACAGUCUCUGCUGCCACACAGUUUAUAAUCUAACUAGGGUGCAUCAAUUAGAAAGUUUAAUGUUCCAAGUGAAAUGAAACCAUCUCAAACAGGCUGAAGCAAUAAGGAAAAUUUAUUGGCUCACUGGGGAUCCAGGCACGAUUUGAUCCAGGACUCAAACAACAGGGAUCCAUUUCUUGGCUCUGCUUCCUCUGGGUGGGAUUCAUUCUUUUGUCACCAUAUGAUGCAACCCCUCCUCUCUCCUGGCAGCUCCACACUUUCCACUAUGACUGCAGGAGAAAUAAGAUGUACUGUUUACCAGGCUGAGAAGAGUCCAAGUGCCAACAUUCCCUACAGACUCCUGAGGUCCACUCUGAUUAGACCAUUUCAGGGCACAGGCCUCCCCUAAAGCGAUGACCUAGCUCAGAGUGAUAGAUACACUGAUGGGCUCAAACCCAGUGGGGUCCAUCCCUGGAUGGAGGAAAGUUGGGCCCUCCCUACAUGGCUCAGAAAUUUAGAAAUCUAUUAGGAAGAGAGAGGGGGCAGCAACCAGUAACUGUCCACGAUAGAAAGACAAUAUAUAAAAUGAGAAUUUUGCUUUGAGGGAACAAUUCAGCCUGUAGAAAAUGCAGGUAUCCCCUAAUUCCCUGGUGAGUCUAGCACAGGCCUGGGAAUCCAGAGAAUUGGCUUCCAAAUCCUGUGCAGGGCCCCUAUACACAACAGGCCCUCAGGAAAGUUCUGGAGGUUGACAGACUUUGCUCCUUGAUCUCACCUCUCUGGAACUGCCCUUGGGUUGGAUUCUCCUGCUCUGUGAUCCCUUUUCUUUUUUUGGAAAGGAGGAUAACAUGUACCUGAGAGGGACACUAAAAGGAUAACUGAGGUGACAUCCACAAAGCAUCUGUCACUAAAUAAACCCAAGCUAUCUAUUGACCUGUGCUUGUGACUCUUUCAGAUUUAAGGACAUUUAGCCAGUGGUUUAGGGGCUAAACAUUAACCACAUUGGGGCAGAUCAGCACCACAGGAGCUAUGAGCCGUGAAGAUACACAGGCCUUUGGUGUUCUAAGUUCAAAAGAUCUGUGUGAAACAAGGUAUAACCCAAAUUAGUUGAAAAUGGACAGCAAUACAGUCAAACAUGCCAGAUACGGAGAGUGCUCCAGCUAAGUACCACAGCUAGUUCUCAAAAGGUAUGAGUAUUUGCCAAGCAACCCAGAAGUACCAGCGGGGCCUGAGCAAUCCUUUGCUUCUUCAUUCAACAAACAUUUAUUGGGUACCCCCUAUACAAGUAGCUACUGUAGGAACACAAUCAAUGAUGAGACUGACACAAAUCCUUUUCAGAAAAAAGAAGGAAUCUCCAUUUAUCAAUAGGUAAAUUAUUAUAAGAAACCAGAUUACUAUAUGCAAAGCUAAAAUGAAUUCAAGAUCUACUAUGAUACCAGAGACAGAAGGUAAAACUAGUUUCAUUUUGUGGAGGAAGUUGGAGAAGGAGUGGGCCAUGCCUACCAAAUGAAUCUUGCAUUAAGGCAUAGACAAAUGUAUAGGGUUAAGUUGAGAGAUUGCGAUCAACUACACAGUCUUUUUUGGUCUCCCAAAUAAAUGUGACUCAGUCCUCUGAACACC